GCGUCACCCGGCUGUUCGGAGCGUCACGCCCUGGCUCAAAAAGCACGCAGCCACCACCACACCCUAGCAUCUUGGCCUGAAGCCCUGCCAAAGAGAUGGAAAUGAAACGGCUCCGCCGUCGAAGCUCCGUGAUAUCCGCUGAGACGAGCUAAAAAGAGGGAGGAGGAGAAAAAAACCGGCUCACCGUGGCUCCUCCCCUCGUUUCCCACCCUUAUCCUUGGGUUGGGAGGGGCCGCGGGUGGAGGUGGCGACGGCAGGCGGUCGGCGGCUGGAGGAAGGGACAGGGACAGCCGACGACGACUGGAGGAGGGGUGGAGACGACCGACGGCGGGGGAAUAGGGAGAGGCAGCUGACAGCUAGAGGAGGCGGACGGCGGCGGGGGCGGGCCAGCGAGGGCCGCUAGAGGCCGGGACAGGCCCGAGCGGCACGGGAGGAAAG
Molecule: long non-coding RNA, 438 nt
Filed under: Setaria italica (foxtail millet)
Lineage: Eukaryota; Viridiplantae; Streptophyta; Magnoliopsida; Poales; Poaceae
Description: long non-coding RNA (SITA_LNC005280)
Source: RNAcentral